UACGUAGGUGGCAAGCGUUUGUCCGGAAUUAUUGGGCGUAAAGCGCGCGCAGGCGGUCCCUUAAGUCUGAUGUGAAAGUCCACGGCUCAACCGUGGAGGGUCAUUGGAAACUGGGGGACUUGAGUACAGAAGAGGAAAGCGGAAUUCCACGUGUAGCGGUGAAAUGCGUAGAAGAUGUGGAGGAACACCAGUGGCGAAGGCGGCUUUCUGGUCUGUAACUGACGCUGAGGCGCGAAAGCGUGGGGAGCAAACAGG
Molecule: ribosomal RNA, 255 nt
Filed under: uncultured bacterium
Lineage: Bacteria
Description: partial 16S ribosomal RNA
Rfam family: Bacterial small subunit ribosomal RNA
Source: RNAcentral